CAGUAGCCGCGGGAAUACGUAGGGUGCGAGCGUUAAUCGGAAUUACUGGGCGUAAAGCGUGCGCAGGCGGUUAUGUAAGACAGUUGUGAAAUCCCCGGGCUCAACCUGGGAACUGCAUCUGUGACUGCAUAGCUAGAGUAUGGCAGAGGGGGGUGGAAUUCCACGUGUAGCAGUGAAAUGCGUAGAGAUGUGGAGGAACACCGAUGGCGAAGGCAGCCCCCUGGGCCAAUACUGACGCUCAUGCACGAAAGCGUGGGGAGCAAACAGGAUUAGAUACCCCCGUAGUCCCUGUCUCUUAUAU
RNAcentral lists this ribosomal RNA (301 nucleotides) under uncultured bacterium. Its description in RNAcentral is "partial 16S ribosomal RNA". It matches the Rfam family "Bacterial small subunit ribosomal RNA", at positions 509 to 809 of the family's 1533-position model. The record is from RNAcentral.